This 871-nucleotide ribosomal RNA is filed under the name uncultured bacterium. RNAcentral describes it as "bacterial SSU rRNA". It matches the Rfam family "Bacterial small subunit ribosomal RNA", at positions 8 to 916 of the family's 1533-position model. The record is from RNAcentral.
AGAGUUUGAUCCUGGCUCAGGAUGAACGCUGGCGGCGUGCUUAAUACAUGCAAGUCGAACGGAGAGUAGCAAUACUCUGAGUGGCGAACGGGUGAGUAACGCGUUGGUACCUGCCCCAAAGCGGGGGAUAACGGGACGAAAGUCUCGCUAAUACCCCAUGUGCUCCGGAAGGAGGAAAGCCGAAAGGCACUUUGGGAGGGGCCUGCGUCCCAUCAGCUGGUUGGUGAGGUAACGGCUCACCAAGGCGAUGACGGGUAGGGGACCUGAGAGGGUGGCCCCCCACAAUGGAACUGAAACACGGUCCAUACACCUACGGGUGGCAGCAGUAGGGGAUAUUGGUAAUGGGCGAAAGCCUGAACCAGCAACGCCGCGUGUGCGAUGAAGGCCUUCGGGUUGUAAAGCACUUUUGACUGGGACGAGGAAGGACGGUACCAGUGGAAUAAGCCUCGGCUAACUACGUGCCAGCAGCCGCGGUAAAACGUAGGAGGCGAGCGUUAUCCGGAUUUACUGGGUGUAAAGCGCAUGCAGGCGGUCGGCUAAGUUGGGUGUGAAAGCUCCCGGCUCAACUGGGAGAGGUUGCUCAAGACUGGCGGACUAGAGGAUGGUAAGGGAAAGCGGAAUUCCGGGUGUAGUGGUGAAAUGCGUAGAUAUCCGGAGGAACACCAGUGGCGAAGGCGGCUUUCUGGACCGUGCCUGACGCUCAGAUGCGAAAGCUAGGGUAGCAAACGGGAUUAGAGACCCCGGUAGUCCUAGCCGUAAACGAUGUGAACUUGGCGGCGGAAGGGUAAAACCUUUCGGUGCCGAAGCCAACGCGAUAAGUUCACCACCUGGGGACUACGGCCGCAAGGUUAAAACUCAAAGGAAUUGACGG